Molecule: transfer RNA, 73 nt
Filed under: Candidatus Haloredivivus sp. G17
Lineage: Archaea; Methanobacteriati; Methanobacteriota; Candidatus Nanohaloarchaea
Also listed under: 1 other name
Rfam family: tRNA
About the family: Transfer RNA (tRNA) molecules are approximately 80 nucleotides in length. Their secondary structure includes four short double-helical elements and three loops (D, anti-codon, and T loops). Further hydrogen bonds mediate the characteristic L-shaped molecular structure. tRNAs have two regions of fundamental functional importance: the anti-codon, which is responsible for specific mRNA codon recognition, and the 3' end, to which the tRNAs corresponding amino acid is attached (by aminoacyl-tRNA synthetases). tRNAs cope with the degeneracy of the genetic code in two manners: having more than one tRNA (with a specific anti-codon) for a particular amino acid; and 'wobble' base-pairing, i.e. permitting non-standard base-pairing at the 3rd anti-codon position.
Source: Rfam by way of RNAcentral
GCGGCGUUGGUCCAGUGGCCUACGACUCGACCUUGCCAUGGUCGGAACCUGGGUUCAAAUCCCAGACGCCGCA